UGAAAUCUCAUGGCUUAACCCUGGAGUCGCCUCAUGGACUCCUGGUCUUGAGUUCGAGAGAGGUGAGUGGAAUUCCAAGUGUAGAGGUGAAAUUCGUAGAUAUUUGGAGGAACACCAGUGGCGAAGGCGGCUCACUGGCUCGAUACUGACGCUGAGGUACGAAAGUGUGGGGAGCAAACAGGAUUAGAUACCCUGGUAGUCCACACCGUAAACGAUGAAUGCCAGACGUCGGGUAGCAUGCUAUUCGGUGUCACACCUAACGGAUUAAGCAUUCCGCCUGGGGAGUACGGUCGCAAGAUUAAAACUCAAAGGAAUUGACGGGGGCCCGCACAAGCAGUGGAGCAUGUGGUUUAAUUCGAAGCAACGCGCAGAACCUUACCAACCCUUGACAUGCCUGGACAAUCCGAGAGAUCGGACUUUCCUUCGGGACCAGUGCACAGGUGCUGCAUGACUGUCAUCAGCUCGUGUCGUGAGAUGUUCGGUUAAGUCCGGCAACGAGCGCAACCCACAUUCUUAGUUUCCAGCAGGUUAAGCUGGGCACUCUCAAGAGACUGCCGGUGAUAAGCACGACGAAGGUGUGGAUGACGUCAAGUCCUCAU
This 599-nucleotide ribosomal RNA is filed under the name uncultured bacterium ORGANIC-4. RNAcentral describes it as "bacterial SSU rRNA". It matches the Rfam family "Bacterial small subunit ribosomal RNA", at positions 595 to 1196 of the family's 1533-position model. The record is from RNAcentral. Lineage: Bacteria; Pseudomonadati; Pseudomonadota; Alphaproteobacteria; Rhodobacterales; Paracoccaceae.